UGGGGUUGGAAAGUUUCGGCGGUUGGGGAUGGACUCGCGGCUUAUCAGCUUGUUGGUGGGGUAGUGGCUUACCAAGGCUUUGACGGGUAGCCGGGCCUGAGAGGGUGACCGGCCACAUUGGGACUGAGAUACGGCCCAGACUCCUACGGGAGGCAGCAGUGGGGAAUAUUGCACAAUGGGCGGAAGCCUGAUGCAGCAACGCCGCGUGCGGGAUGACGGCCUUCGGGUUGUAAACCGCUUUCGCCUGUGACGAAGCGUGAGUGACGGUAAUGGGUAAAGAAGCACCGGCUAACUACGUG
This 299-nucleotide ribosomal RNA is filed under the name uncultured bacterium. RNAcentral's name for it is "partial 16S ribosomal RNA". It matches the Rfam family "Bacterial small subunit ribosomal RNA", at positions 194 to 507 of the family's 1533-position model. The record is from RNAcentral.